GGUAACAUGGCCGAGUGGUUAAGGCGGCAGACUUAAGAUCUGCUUCUCGUACGAGAGCGUGAGUUCGAUCCUCACUGUUACCA
Molecule: transfer RNA, 83 nt
Filed under: Spraguea lophii 42_110
Lineage: Eukaryota; Fungi; Microsporidia; Spragueidae
Rfam family: tRNA
About the family: Transfer RNA (tRNA) molecules are approximately 80 nucleotides in length. Their secondary structure includes four short double-helical elements and three loops (D, anti-codon, and T loops).
Source: Rfam by way of RNAcentral